RNAcentral lists this transfer RNA (74 nucleotides) under Felis catus (domestic cat). It matches the Rfam family "tRNA". Rfam says of the family: Transfer RNA (tRNA) molecules are approximately 80 nucleotides in length. Their secondary structure includes four short double-helical elements and three loops (D, anti-codon, and T loops). Further hydrogen bonds mediate the characteristic L-shaped molecular structure. tRNAs have two regions of fundamental functional importance: the anti-codon, which is responsible for specific mRNA codon recognition, and the 3' end, to which the tRNAs corresponding amino acid is attached (by aminoacyl-tRNA synthetases). tRNAs cope with the degeneracy of the genetic code in two manners: having more than one tRNA (with a specific anti-codon) for a particular amino acid; and 'wobble' base-pairing, i.e. permitting non-standard base-pairing at the 3rd anti-codon position. The record is from Rfam by way of RNAcentral. Lineage: Eukaryota; Metazoa; Chordata; Mammalia; Carnivora; Felidae.
GCCUGACUGGCUCAGUUGGUAGAGCAUACCAACUCUUAAUCUCAGGGUUGUGAGUUCAAGCCCCACGUUGGGCA